Molecule: ribosomal RNA, 161 nt
Filed under: uncultured bacterium
Lineage: Bacteria
Description: partial 16S ribosomal RNA
Rfam family: Bacterial small subunit ribosomal RNA
Source: RNAcentral
GGGGGCAACCUGAUCCAGCCAUGCCGCGUGUGUGAAGAAGGCCUUCGGGUUGUAAAGCACUUUCAGUAGGGAGGAAGGCUUACCGUUAAUAGCGGUGAGUACUUGACGUUACCUACAGAAGAAGCACCGGCUAAUUUCGUGCCAGCAGCCGCGGUAAUACA